This 426-nucleotide ribosomal RNA is filed under the name uncultured bacterium. Its description in RNAcentral is "bacterial SSU rRNA". It matches the Rfam family "Bacterial small subunit ribosomal RNA", at positions 356 to 773 of the family's 1533-position model. The record is from RNAcentral.
GAGGAAUAUUGCGCAAUGGGGGCAACCCUGACGCAGCGACGCCGCGUGGAUGAUGAAGGCCUUCGGGUCGUAAAAUCCUGUCAGAUGGGAAGAAGUGCGUGGUGGUUAAUACCCAUCAUGUUUGACGGUACCAUCAGAGGAAGCACCGGCUAACUCCGUGCCAGCAGCCGCGGUAAUACGGAGGGUGCAAGCGUCGUUCGGAAUUACUGGGCGUAAAGCGCGCGUAGGCGGUUUGUUAAGUCAGAUGUGAAAGCCCAGGGCUUAACCUUGGACGUGCAUUUGAAACUGGCAGACUUGAGUAUUGGAGGGGGUGGUGGAAUUCCCGGUGUAGAGGUGAAAUUCGUAGAUAUCGGGAGGAAUACCGGUGGCGAAGGCGACCACCUGGCCAAAUACUGACGCUGAGGUGCGAAAGCGUGGGGAGCAAAC